UUUUUCACGACGUCGACAGCUGCGGCGCUGCGUUGCUGCGGUGCGUGGCUCUCUCCAGGUGCUCUCUCACUAUCUCUCUCUCUUUACCUGCCGCUCCAUAUUAUGGCUAUCCUAUCUCUGUGUGUAUGGAUGGUGUAUGGCACCGCAUCGCCCUGGCAGAGGCCUAUGCUACCGACUCUCCUCUGCCGCAUGAUGCAAGAACCAGCUACCAUUUCAAUAGACCUCGCCUCAGACCCGGCCAGAGAAGGAAAGUUUGGAAAGCCAAAAAUACUUGAGGCCGCAGCACGUGCGGCGGCGGCCGAAGAGAAGUUUCUUCGCUCCGCUGUCUCUUCAGACGACGGGAUUCACUCUUUGAGUGUCUGUUAGUCAACGACCUUUAAUAUGAUAUAAAUGGAAUGUUGAUUUUGGCAUUUGGCGUCUAAUCUGCCAGAAAAUUGUUUGCUGUUUUACGGGAUUGAUUUGUUGAAUGCUUUUAUGGGACAAACAGGGUUUUUAAAACUUGCCAAUUGCUUCGGCCAACAAUCAAUAAUCAGUCGGAAUGAUCGACUAUAAUUGCCAGAUUUCUGCUUUAUUACCGCAAAGAAGAAGGUAAGAAUCUCUAAGUAUUCAUAUUUACAGGAAGAUAGUCUUAUAGUAGUCAGAUCUUAUUAUUCCAAUAAAAAGCAACGUAAGGGAAGUAGGAAGUAAGCGCCUUUGUGGCUAGUCGAGGAAUCAAAUUUCGACUAUUAACCAUAUUUAUGGCUUUCACUUAUGAGUGAGGUCUUUGAUUAAUGCGAUAUCUAUCCUAACUAUGAUCGCCCCGUAUGGGGCUUCGCUAAACAUCUUGUGUUGCUCAUUUUCCCGAAAACGCUUGUCACUGAUUAGCCCAACAGAUUCGGAAGUCUUUUACACGCAAUACAUAGUAUGAGUGUGGGCAUGUGCACAUAGUACACAUAUUUGUGGGACUUUUGUUAAACACUUGAGCGGAUUAUCAUGAAUAAGGUUGGAUUAGAGGAGCACAGGGAAACAGAGGAACGGACCCAAACCAAACAGAGCCAGGCGCGUGCAUUUGACAUUUCAAACUGUGAUAAUUCAAUUGUGGGCUGUGUACUAUUAGUAGCCCGACGAAUAUCUGGAUUAGCUAGCUCCUCGAUCAGAGCUCUCCCGUCAUAAAAAACGAACACAACUAAUAAACAAAAUAAGUGUAGCGCCUCUGCAGGCUAUACAUAGUAUCUGUGCUCCUCUGGUAAUCUAAUUGUAAGAGACACACACACACACACACGCAGAGCGGGAUUUUGUCCAGUGUCCGCGUCCGCGUUCGCGUCCGCAACCGUAACCGCAUUUAUAUAUGUACAUACAUAGGUAUGUUUGUGUGUGUGUGUGUAUUUAUGUAGAGUGGGUUCGGGCCCCCGUUUGCAGUUGAUUAACUGUGAUUUCGUGUGACUUUUAUUGUUGUCGGGUUUAUUUUACGUUAUUUUUUUUCAAGUUUUGCGCGCCACUCACACAUCGAAGUCCACAGAAUAUAUGCUCAUGUGGAAGGAAGGAGAAAUAUGAUGGAUCACUUCCAUAUGCAAUUUUCGUUAAUAUUUUCUGUGUCGCUUUCAUUAUGCCACGAGUCAUGUGUUUUCAUGAUCAACAUUUAUAGUGUAACAUAAAUUUGGAUAUAUAUCCUUCAGAAAUCAGAAACAACUCUCGUGGAACGCAACACCGGAAUAUUGUAUCUAAAAAAAACGUACUGCUUGCGCGCCCCAAGAGAUUUACUUGUGCGAGUAUCCCGCUCUAUGGAGAACCAUAGAGAACCAGACGCACUCAAAACCCGAAUCGGACUGAAUCUGAUUUUCAUCGGCGGGGCAUGCACUACCGAAAAGCUUUAAUAAAAUAAUAAAACAACAAAAUAAACACAAAUAUGUAAAU
This is a long non-coding RNA of Drosophila pseudoobscura, 1893 nucleotides long. RefSeq lists it as uncharacterized. The record is from RefSeq and is a predicted model, not a curated record. The transcript has 2 exons. NCBI's taxonomy places the organism in Eukaryota, Metazoa, Arthropoda, Insecta, Diptera, Drosophilidae.